RNAcentral lists this ribosomal RNA (301 nucleotides) under uncultured bacterium. Its description in RNAcentral is "partial 16S ribosomal RNA". It matches the Rfam family "Bacterial small subunit ribosomal RNA", at positions 509 to 809 of the family's 1533-position model. The record is from RNAcentral.
CAGCAGCCGCGGUAAUACGAAGGGGGCUAGCGUUGCUCGGAAUGACUGGGCGUAAAGGGCGCGUAGGCGGUUUGUACAGUUGGAUGUGAAAUUCCUGGGCUUAACCUGGGGGCUGCAUUCAAUACGUGCAGGCUUGAGUGUGGAAGAGGGUCGUGGAAUUCCCAGUGUAGAGGUGAAAUUCGUAGAUAUUGGGAAGAACACCGGUGGCGAAGGCGGCGACCUGGUCCAUUACUGACGCUGAGGCGCGAAAGCGUGGGGAACAAACAGGAUUAGAUACCCGCGUAGUCCCUGUCUCUUAUAA